RNAcentral lists this microRNA (21 nucleotides) under Mus musculus (house mouse). RNAcentral's name for it is "microRNA miRNA438". Lineage: Eukaryota; Metazoa; Chordata; Mammalia; Rodentia; Muridae. The record is from RNAcentral.
UCGGGCCCCGCGGACGCUACG